UACGUAGGGGGCAAGCGUUGUCCGGAAUCAUUGGGCGUAAAGCGCGUGUAGGUGGCUUGGUAAGUCCGGUGUGAAAUCUUGGGGCUCAACCCCAAACGUGCAUCGGAUACUGCCUCGCUCGAGUUCGGGAGGGGAGAGCGGAAUUCCUAGUGUAGCGGUGAAAUGCGCAGAUAUUAGGAAGAACACCGGUGGCGAAGGCGGCUCUCUGGAACGAUACUGACACUGAGACGCGAAAGCGUGGGUAGCGAACAGG
RNAcentral lists this ribosomal RNA (253 nucleotides) under uncultured bacterium. RNAcentral describes it as "partial 16S ribosomal RNA". It matches the Rfam family "Bacterial small subunit ribosomal RNA", at positions 524 to 776 of the family's 1533-position model. The record is from RNAcentral.